RNAcentral lists this ribosomal RNA (482 nucleotides) under uncultured bacterium. Its description in RNAcentral is "partial 16S ribosomal RNA". It matches the Rfam family "Bacterial small subunit ribosomal RNA", at positions 30 to 507 of the family's 1533-position model. The record is from RNAcentral.
AUUGAACGCUGGCGGCAUGCCUUACACAUGCAAGUCGAACGGUAACGGGCCUUCGGGUGCCGACGAGUGGCGAACGGGUGAGUAAUACAUCGGAACGUGCCCGAUCGUGGGGGAUAACGAGGCGAAAGCUUUGCUAAUACCGCAUACGAUCUACGGAUGAAAGCAGGGGACCGCAAGGCCUUGCGCGGACGGAGCGGCCGAUGGCAGAUUAGGUAGUUGGUGGGAUAAAAGCUUACCAAGCCGACGAUCUGUAGCUGGUCUGAGAGGAUGAUCAGCCACACUGGGACUGAGACACGGCCCAGACUCCUACGGGAGGCAGCAGUGGGGAAUUUUGGACAAUGGUCGCAAGCCUGAUCCAGCCAUGCCGCGUGCAGGAUGAAGGCCUUCGGGUUGUAAACUGCUUUUGUACGGAACGAAAAGCCUUCUUUUAAUACAGGAGGGUCAUGACGGUACCGUAAGAAUAAGCACCGGCUAACUACGUG